GGGCGUUAAGUUGCAGGGUAUAGACCCGAAACCCGGUGAUCUAGCCAUGGGCAGGUUGAAGGUUGGGUAACACUAACUGGAGGACCGAACCGACUAAUGUUGAAAAAUUAGCGGAUGACCUGUGGCUGGGGGUGAAAGGCCAAUCAAACCGGGAGAUAGCUGGUUCUCCCCGAAAGCUAUUUAGGUAGCGCCUCGUGAAUUCAUCUCCGGGGGUAGAGCACUGUUUCGGCUAGGGGGCCAUCCCGGCUUACCAACCCGAUGCAAACUGCGAAUACCGGAGAAUGUUAUCACGGGAGACACACGGCGGGUGCUAACGUCCGUCGUGAAGAGGGAAACAACCCAGACCGCCAGCUAAGGUCCCAAAGUCAUGGUUAAGUGGGAAACGAUGUGGGAAGGCCCAGACAGCCAGGAUGUUGGCUUAGAAGCAGCCAUCAUUUAAAGAAAGCGUAAUAGCUCACUGGUCGAGUCGGCCUGCGCGGAAGAUGUAACGGGGCUAAACCAUGCACCGAAGCUGCGGCAGCGACACUAUGUGUUGUUGGGUAGGGGAGCGUUCUGUAAGCCUGUGAAGGUGGCCUGUGAGGGUUGCUGGAGGUAUCAGAAGUGCGAAUGCUGACAUAAGUAACGAUAAAGCGGGUGAAAAGCCCGCUCGCCGGAAGACCAAGGGUUCCUGUCCAACGUUAAUCGGGGCAGGGUGAGUCGACCCCUAAGGCGAGGCCGAAAGGCGUAGUCGAUGGGAAACGGGUUAAUAUUCCCGUACUUGGUGUUACUGCGAAGGGGGGACGGAGAAGGCUAUGUUGGCCGGGCGACGGUUGUCCCGGUUUAAGCGUGUAGGUGUGUGUUCCAGGUAAAUCCGGUUCACUUUAACACUGAGGCGUGAUGACGAGGCACUACGGUGCUGAAGCAACAAAUGCCCUGCUUCCAGGAAAAGCCUCUAAGCAUCAGGUAACAUCAAAUCGUACCCCAAACCGACACAGGUGGUCAGGUAGAGAAUACCAAGGCGCUUGAGAGAACUCGGGUGAAGGAACUAGGCAAAAUGGUGCCGUAACUUCGGGAGAAGGCACGCUGACACGUAGGUGAAGUGAUUUACUCAUGGAGCUGAAGUCAGUCGAAGAUACCAGCUGGCUGCAACUGUUUAUUAAAAACACAGCACUGUGCAAACACGAAAGUGGACGUAUACGGUGUGACGCCUGCCCGGUGCCGGAAGGUUAAUUGAUGGGG
This 1218-nucleotide ribosomal RNA is filed under the name Salmonella enterica subsp. enterica serovar Cerro. RNAcentral describes it as "partial 23S ribosomal RNA". It matches the Rfam family "Bacterial large subunit ribosomal RNA", at positions 690 to 1889 of the family's 2925-position model. Lineage: Bacteria; Pseudomonadati; Pseudomonadota; Gammaproteobacteria; Enterobacterales; Enterobacteriaceae. The record is from RNAcentral.